GAGAAUAGCCCGAAGAAAUUCGGAUUACUGCUCCAUGAGACCACAAUAGCCCAUGAUAUAUGCUGCGUAAAAGCUCCGGCUGUCAAGGAUGGGCAUGCCUGCCAUUAGCAUAGUUGCGUGAGGUUACGGCUCACCAACACACCGAUGGCUAGGGGGUCUGAGAGGAUGCAUCCCCCACACUGGAACUGAGACACGGACCAUACUCCUACGGGAGGCAGCAGUGAGCGAAUAUUGAGUCCAUGGAACGCAAGUCUGAACCAGCCAUGCCCCGCUCCAGGAUGAAUGCCCUAUCGCUUGUAAACUGCUUUUCUACAAGAAGAAACUUCCUGCAUGCUCAGGAACUGACGGUAUUGUAGGAAUAAGCAUCGACUAACUCCGUGCCAGCAGCCGCGGUAAUACGGAGGAUGCAAGCGUUAUCCGGAUUCCUUGGGUUUAAAGGGUGCGUAGGCGGUGUAGUAAGUCAGUGGUGAAAGCCUGCGGCUUAACCGUAGAAUUGCCAUUGACACUGCUAUUCUUGAGUGCAGUGAUAGUAGGCGGAAUGUGUAAUGUAGCGGUGAAAUGCUUAGAUAUUACACAGAACACCGAUGUCGUAGGCAGCUUCAUCAACUGUUACUGACGCUGAGACACGAAAGCGUCAGGAGCUAACACAAUUAGAUAGCCUGGUAGUUCACGCUGUAAACUAUGAUCACUCGCUGUUGGCGAUACAUUGUCAGCGGCUGAGCGAAAUCAGUAAGUGAUCCACCUGGCGAGUACGGCCGCAAGGUUGUAAGUCAAAGGAAUUGACGGGGGCCCGCACAACCGAUGGAACAUGUGGUUUAAUUUGAUGAUAAGCGAGGUACCUUACCUGGGCUUAAUUGCAGAACGACGUACCGGGUAACUGGUACUCCCUUCGGGGCGGACUGCAAGGUGCUGCAUGGUUGUCGUCAGCUCGUGCCGUGAGGUGUCGGUUUAAGUCCCAUAACGAGCGCGACCCUCAUUGUUAGUUGCCAGCGAGUAAUUUCGGGGACUCUAACGAAACUGCCGGUGUAAACCGUGAGGAAGGUGGGGAUGACGUCAAAUCAGCACGGCCCUUAUGUCCAGGGCUACACACGUGUUACAAUGGCCAGUUCAAAGGGCAGCU
This 1120-nucleotide ribosomal RNA is filed under the name uncultured organism. Its description in RNAcentral is "bacterial SSU rRNA". It matches the Rfam family "Bacterial small subunit ribosomal RNA", at positions 139 to 1251 of the family's 1533-position model. The record is from RNAcentral.